This 343-nucleotide unclassified non-coding RNA is filed under the name soil metagenome. RNAcentral describes it as "partial contains 5.8S ribosomal RNA, internal transcribed spacer 2, and large subunit ribosomal RNA". The stretch from base 1 to 120 matches the Rfam family "5.8S ribosomal RNA", at positions 35 to 154 of the family's 154-position model. The record is from RNAcentral.
GAUGAAGAACGUAGCGAAAUGCGAUAAGUAAUGUGAAUUGCAGAAUUCAGUGAAUCAUCGAAUCUUUGAACGCACAUUGCGCCCGCUAGUAUUCUGGCGGGCAUGCCUGUCCGAGCGUCAUUUCAACCCUCAAGCCCCCGGGCUUGGUGUUGGGGAUCGACGAGCCUCCGCGCCCGCCGUCCCCUAAAUCUAGUGGCGGUCUCGCUGUAGCUUCCUCUGCGUAGUAGCACACCUCGCACUGGGAAACAGCGCGGCCACGCCGUUAAACCCCCAACUUCUGAACGUUUGACCUCGGAUCAGGUAGGAAUACCCGCUGAACUUAAGCAUAUCAAUAAGCGGAGGA